Molecule: ribosomal RNA, 425 nt
Filed under: uncultured bacterium
Lineage: Bacteria
Description: partial 16S ribosomal RNA
Rfam family: Bacterial small subunit ribosomal RNA
Source: RNAcentral
GUGGGGAAUAUUGGACAAUGGGCGCAAGCCUGAUCCAGCCAUGCCGCGUGAGUGAUGAAGGCCUUAGGGUUGUAAAGCUCUUUCAGUGGGGACGAUAAUGACGGUACCCACAGAAGAAGCCCCGGCUAACUUCGUGCCAGCAGCCGCGGUAAUACGAAGGGGGCUAGCGUUGUUCGGAAUUACUGGGCGUAAAGCGCACGUAGGCGGACAUUUAAGUCAGGGGUGAAAUCCCGGGGCUCAACCCCGGAACUGCCUUUGAUACUGGGUGUCUAGAGGAUGGAAGAGGUAAGUGGAAUUCCGGGUGUAGAGGUGAAAUUCGUAGAUAUUCGGAGGAACACCAGUGGCGAAGGCGGCUUACUGGUCCAUUACUGACGCUGAGGUGCGAAAGCGUGGGGAGCAAACAGGAUUAGAUACCCGAGUAGUCC